RNAcentral lists this ribosomal RNA (583 nucleotides) under uncultured bacterium. RNAcentral describes it as "partial 16S ribosomal RNA". It matches the Rfam family "Bacterial small subunit ribosomal RNA", at positions 355 to 925 of the family's 1533-position model. The record is from RNAcentral.
UGGGGAAUAUUGCACAAUGGGCGCAAGCCUGAUGCAGCCAUGCCGCGUGUGUGAAGAAGGCCUUCGGGUUGUAAAGCACUUUCAGCGAGGAGGAAGGUGGUGGACUUAAUACGUUCAUCAAUUGACGUUACUCGCAGAAGAAGCACCGGCUAACUCCGUGCCAGCAGCCGCGGUAAUACGGAGGGUGCAAGCGUUAAUCGGAAUUACUGGGCGUAAAGCGCACGCAGGCGGUUUGUUAAGUCAGAUGUGAAAUCCCCGGGCUCAACCUGGGAACUGCAUUUGAAACUAGCAAGCUAGAGUCUCGUAGAGGGGGGUAGAAUUCCAGGUGUAGCGGUGAAAUGCGUAGAGAUCUGGAGGAAUACCGGUGGCGAAGGCGGCCCCCCUGGACGAAGACUGACGCUCAGGUGCGAAAGGCGUGGGGGAGCAAACAGGAUUAGAUACCCUGGUAGUCCACGCUGUAAACGAUGUCGAUUUUGGAGGUUGUGCCCCUUGAGGCGUGGCUUCCGGAGCUAACGCGUUAAAUCGACCGCCUGGGGAGUACGGCCGCAAGGUUAAAACUUAAAGGAAUUGACGGGGUCUAGCU